Molecule: ribosomal RNA, 429 nt
Filed under: Actinomycetes bacterium
Lineage: Bacteria; Bacillati; Actinomycetota; Actinomycetes
Description: Actinobacteria bacterium partial 16S ribosomal RNA
Rfam family: Bacterial small subunit ribosomal RNA
Source: RNAcentral
UAGGGAAUCUUCCGCAAUGGGCGAAAGCUUGACGGAGCAACGCCGCGUGAGUGAUGAAGGUCUUCGGAUCGUAAAACUCUGUUAUUAGGGAAGAACAAAUGUGUAAGUAACUAUGCACGUCUUGACGGUACCUAAUCAGAAAGCCACGGCUAACUACGUGCCAGCAGCCGCGGUAAUACGUAGGUGGCAAGCGUUAUCCGGAAUUAUUGGGCGUAAAGCGCGCGUAGGCGGUUUUUUAAGUCUGAUGUGAAAGCCCACGGCUCAACCGUGGAGGGUCAUUGGAAACUGGAAAACUUGAGUGCAGAAGAGGAAAGUGGAAUUCCAUGUGUAGCGGUGAAAUGCGCAGAGAUAUGGAGGAACACCAGUGGCGAAGGCGACUUUCUGGUCUGUAACUGACGCUGAUGUGCGAAAGCGUGGCGAUCAAACAGG